CUUAGAGUUUGAUCCUGGCUCAGGAUGAACGCUGGCGGCGCGCCUAACACAUGCAAGUCGAACGGCACCCAUCUUCGGAUGGAAGCGAGUGGCGAACGGCUGAGUAACACGUGGAGAACCUGCCCCCUCCCCCGGGAUAGCCGCCCGAAAGGACGGGUAAUACCGGAUACCCCGGGGUGCCGCAUGGCACCCCGGCUAAAGCCCCGACGGGAGGGGAUGGCUCCGCGGCCCAUCAGGUAGACGGCGGGGUGACGGCCCACCGUGCCGACAACGGGUAGCCGGGUUGAGAGACCGACCGGCCAGAUUGGGACUGAGACACGGCCCAGACUCCUACGGGAGGCAGCAGUGGGGAAUCUUGCGCAAUGGGGGGAACCCUGACGCAGCGACGCCGCGUGCGGGACGGAGGCCUUCGGGUCGUAAACCGCUUUCAGCAGGGAAGAGUCAAGACUGUACCUGCAGAAGAAGCCCCGGCUAACUACGUGCCAGCAGCCGCGGUAAUACGUAGGGGGCGAGCGUUAUCCGGAUUCAUUGGGCGUAAAGCGCGCGUAGGCGGCCCGGCAGGCCGGGGGUCGAAGCGGGGGGCUCAACCCCCCGAAGCCCCCGGAACCUCCGCGGCUUGGGUCCGGUAGGGGAGGGUGGAACACCCGGUGUAGCGGUGGAAUGCGCAGAUAUCGGGUGGAACACCGGUGGCGAAGGCGGCCCUCUGGGCCGAGACCGACGCUGAGGCGCGAAAGCUGGGGGAGCGAACAGGAUUAGAUACCCUGGUAGUCCCAGCCGUAAACGAUGGACGCUAGGUGUGGGGGGACGAUCCCCCCGUGCCGCAGCCAACGCAUUGAGCGUCCCGCCUGGGGAGUACGGCCGCAAGGCUAAAACUCAAAGGAAUUGACGG
RNAcentral lists this ribosomal RNA (889 nucleotides) under uncultured bacterium. RNAcentral describes it as "bacterial SSU rRNA". It matches the Rfam family "Bacterial small subunit ribosomal RNA", at positions 1 to 916 of the family's 1533-position model. The record is from RNAcentral.